This 376-nucleotide ribosomal RNA is filed under the name uncultured bacterium. RNAcentral describes it as "bacterial SSU rRNA". It matches the Rfam family "Bacterial small subunit ribosomal RNA", at positions 524 to 898 of the family's 1533-position model. The record is from RNAcentral.
UACAGAGGGUGCGAGCGUUGUCCGGAAUUACUGGGCGUAAAGGGCGCGUAGGCGGCUUGGUAAGUCGGGGGUGAAAGUCAGCGGCUCAACCGCUGGACUGCCUUCGAGACUGCCUGGCUUGAGCAUGGUAGAGGCUGGCGGAAUUCCCGGUGUAGCGGUGGAAUGCGUAGAGAUCGGGAAGAACAUCGGUGGCGAAGGCGGCCAGCUGGGCCAUUGCUGACGCUGAGGCGCGACAGCGUGGGGAGCAAACAGGAUUAGAUACCCUGGUAGUCCACGCCGUAAACGAUGGGUACUAGGCGUCGGGGGGAGCGACCCCUUCGGUGCCGUCGUUAACACAGUAAGUACCCCGCCUGGGGAGUACGGCCGCAAGGCUGAA